CUAUUUCGAUGGAGGAGUUUGAUAUCUUUAAUCGCUCUGACCUGCAUUAAUACUUCUAUCUUGCAACGAUCCACGAUCUGAAGGUUAUGGAGUUGUAUUUGAUUGGGAUAAAACUGUUUUCUUCAGGUCUUCAAACAUAUCAAACAUUUCAUUAUAUUUCCUUUUUAAAAUUUGAUUAUCCUGUAAAACAUUUAAGAUUCAUUUAUAUUUAUGUAUUACUUUAAAAUUUUAUUAACUUUCAUACACAUACCUUUAUUAACUUCUCCAUUUGAUCGUUCAUUUUUUCUUUUCCUUUUUCUUUUUCUUCUUCUUUCUCGAUAGAUCUUGUACUCAUUUCAAUUGAAAAUCUAGUAGAAGCAGUGCUCGCGACUCAGCAAAUGAUCCUCCACCAAGUCUAAUGUGCCUCCCUUUUUUGCUUUGAAUAAAUUUUGAAAUGCAUUUUUGUUGAAUCACCUAAAUGCGAAAAAUAAUAUAUAAGAAAAUAAAACAUUUGAAUAAUUUGAAAUAGUAAAAUAAUUUAAAACAUACAUCUUCAUCCGUUGUUGGACGUAAUUCUUGAAUUUUAUCACUUUUGUAAUAUUCAGACAAAUUUCUCUAUAAAAUAAGUAAUAAACUAUGAGUAGAUCAAUAAACUACUAUUUAUGAACAUUAUAAAAUAAACUAAGACUUACAACGACUUCGUUGUCAGUACCAGAAGAACGAAUCAAUACAUUGAUUCGUGAUGCCUCAAUGCCUUCGCGUUGCAGAUUUUCUCUUAUUGCACUGAAAGGAAUUGACCAUGUUUUAUGGUUUAGUAUCUUCUUACUCCGGUUUGUUUUGUUGAUAACAAUGGAUAGUGUAUAUUGACGAAGUUGACAAGAUAACAAAAAAGGUUUUGUAAAUUCAGAAUAUAUUUUUUUGAUGUAAAAACUAUAUUGAUUUCUAUCUUCCAUAUAUUCAACAUGGAGGCUGAGAGUCAAAAUGUUAGCAGAGAUGUAUCUGGUGAAGGGGUUCAACAAGCUCUACUGAAGAUCCUUGAAGGAACUAUAAAUCAAUGGUUUAUCUCAAUUUUUUUCUAUUAUCUAAUUGAAAGCUGUCUGUCCACCAAAUUGGCUGAAUUUCUUCUAGUAUUUAUGUAUCAGUGUUCAGUAAAUAGUUUUUACUUACUGAACUGGUAAUUAGAGAGUUUUUCAUUCGAGGUGAUUACCUAUAUAUGGUUCCUUGUCUUAUUGAUUUAUAUUUUGACAGACUAAUAAUAGGUUGAACCAUAAUACUGAUUUUCAUAUUUCGAAUGAAGGAAUAACGUCUCUUCAUUUUCUGAACAAGGGCUAUGACGAGCAUCAUCAACGGAACGGUUAGUUCGAUAAAUAUAGACAAUAUAUAUCAUUAUCAUAUGCAUUAGCAUGACUGAUUUCCCCCACGUCAUUGACAUAUCCAAUCAUGUGCUGAAGAACUGGAUACUUCCUCAGCAUCAUCUUACCAGCGAAAUGGGACUCAAUCAGUAAUCCCAUGUUCCUUCUAGGGCAUUGAGCCGUGAGCCGUACACGGCCUAACUCAUCCAUCUUAUUCCUAAUUACCCCUUCUUUAUUCGAACUGUAAAUUUCAAACAGGAGGUCAAUCAUGCAAACGAAGACCCUGACGUUGGUGUAUUUAGUGGUAUGACACAUCUACUCUAAGAUUAAUAUUUUACAAAUGGCGUUAACUUACCGACAAUAUUUUUAAACAACAUCUAAUGGGAUUAGUGAUCUUCCGAAAGACCAACAACCACAGAACAUGAGCCUCGGCGCUACUAUGUACGAAUUAGUCCAUUAACUUUUCACAUUAACCAACGCAUGCCGCAAAGGUGAAUAACAAUUAACGAUUUACAUAUUUCAUGAAACAGUAAUGCUACUAAUGAAGACGUUGAUAAUCAUGAUUCGAAUGACGAAACGGCUAAAGUAGGGUGUGUCAACAGUCUACUGCAAGAAGGGUGUGUCAACGGCUAAAGUACCUAAUGUCCUCAAACCACUUGAGAAAAGCACCAAACCACGACACAUAAGAAAUCCCAGAACAGGUUGUAGGGCUAUACUAUGUCUGAAGAAAGAGGAUGAAAAAUGGGUAAUCUGCAUAUAUAGUAACAACCAUAAUCAUGACAUGGCGACAUCGUCGAAGAAACGAUUCUUAAAGGUCAAUAGAAAAAUAACACCUUACGCAAGAAAUUUAAUACAUGCUCUAGAUGCAACAAACAUUCUACCGAGUCAGCAGUACUCGUACGUUGCAAACCGAUUAGGUGGGCUUCCUAACUGUUCCUUCACUAAAACUGAUUUCUUCAACUUACCGAAGACUGCCAAGCAAAACAUACAUAGCCACGAUGUCGACAUUCUCAUGAGGAAACUUGAAUUUCUAAAGAAAGAAGAUGAUUACUACUAUUAUUCAUACGCCUUGGACGACGAAAGUACAACAUUCAACUUUCACAUUUACAAUACACCUCUCCCGUUCUUCACUAACAUAUUUACAAUGACCAAUUGAUUACCAGGUGCUUUAAAACAACUGUUCUGGGCAGACUCAAAGUCAAUUAAUCAAUGUAAGACCUAUGGAGAGGUCGUAACAUUCGAUACUACGUACAAUACUAACAAGUACAAACUCAUAAUUGGUAUUUUCUGCGACGUCAAUAACCAUGGUUUUCUAUGUGUCAUUUAUGCGUCGCAUAAACGACCAUGCGAUUUUCCAAACCCCCGCAUAGAUGUUCUAUGCGUUUGGCGGGUCUGGGUCGGGUCCCCAGGUAGGGUCAUUGGGUUUUACCCGAAUUUAAAAAAAACCUAAAACCCCCCGCAUAAAACAGUCCAGACCUUAAAAAAACGUGAGUAGAGAGGCAGACGCAAGGUCCUGACGCGAGCACAUACCUGACGCGAACGCGAGCAGCCGAGCAUUCCUCUCCUGACGUUGCUGGAAAAAAAACGAUAAGAAAAAUUAUUUGAAUUCUUACCGUUCACUCUCCUCCUCCUCUACUCGUGUUGCGUUUGCGUUUAUUUAGAACGCGUGUCGCAUUUUGCGUUUAUUGUAAAUAUUUAAAACGCAACCACUAUGUGACAUGUGAAUUUUUUUCCUCGGUGG
This 3072-nucleotide long non-coding RNA is filed under the name Zostera marina. Its description in RNAcentral is "long non-coding RNA (ZMAR_LNC003819)". The record is from RNAcentral. Lineage: Eukaryota; Viridiplantae; Streptophyta; Magnoliopsida; Alismatales; Zosteraceae.